CCCAAUCCCACUGAGUUCCCAGGAGCAGGAGACAAGGACACAGGGUAUGAGAGGCCAAAUCCCCUCACUGACCCACAGUCACACAGAGAAAUACCCCCAGCCAGUCAGUCAGUUCCCAGUCACUGUCAUUGCUUCCUGCUACCCUGAAACACCUAGCCGUUGGUCGCCUGGUGGCCUCCCCACUGAAGAACAUGGUGGUCAUUUACAGAAGGCCAUUUGGACAGUGUCAUCGUGAAAGAUCCCCAGAAAGUAGAAUGUAUUCCAGUUGUCGAAUGUACAUGGAGCUCUCCCAGGACCUUCAUAGAUGGGCCAGUAGGACUGAGACAGUAAUGGGGUUUUUGGACUGUGGAUGUAAGACAACCGUGUCUGGAUGCGGUACACCUGGAGGACACACUAUUCUGGAGGCGUUUGUUAAUCAUGAGAUACUUUAUCAGCUAUCCACCGUAUCCUUGCAAAUCUGAGUAUUCUAUCCUGGUGUUCCACUCUGAGAGAGCAGGAUGUGGAUAAGCACACUGACUCUCAGGCAGAAAGAUGCCCAUGCUUCUGUAUCUUUCCCUUUGCGUAAGCAACACCUGCAUUUUGACUCUUGGAACAGUGGACCACACAAAUUGACAUUUUCUGACCAAUUAUGAAAGACAACCAGAAAGUCGAAUAUAUAAGGGUAGUUAUCAAAUGCCCCGAGUCCCCCCAACUUCCUCCCCAGUCCCACCACCACCCACAUCAACUGCUUUUUCAAAGCUUUCUGCUUCUUUUUGAGAGCAAAAAACCGCACAUCUUUCCCAUCUUAAAUGUUCCUCGAACGGGGCACCAAUUGCUUAUUGGAAUUUAUCGUAAAUUCACAUAUUAUGUACAUGUAGGUAUGAAUGUGUGAAGGCGUACGUGUGGGUGUGUGUAUACGUGUUGAGGGUAUUCAUGUGGUCUGUCUUAUAAGUCUACUAUUUAAAAUCACCACUGUAAAGUCAGCAGGAUGGUGGAACAAUAUUCUGUGUUGAUAUCAAGCUUCACAGCCCCCAGCACUCUACUGUACUUUUCAUGUGACACCUUCCUUUGGAAGUAGAGUUGUGUACUUUAGCAGUGCUUGAGUGACAAGGGAACAUGGGAAUUCAAAUGCUGGGCCACAUUUCCACUGAAAUGUUAAAAUGGUCCCCCACCUCGCAGUCCUCUAACUCCGCAGUCGUUCAUAAGACACUGAACCUUCAAGCCAUAAACAGAAAAGUGUAUGCUAUAAUUCCCCAGCUAAACCUGCUUGCUCACAUAUCCCAUAGUUCCUCUCUCUCUCAUCCACUUCUGCGGUAUGACUCUUCCCUCCUACCCCCCCAUGUCUAUAUGACCCUUCCCUUUUACCCCCCCCCAUGCCUAUAUGACCCUUCCCUUUUACUCCCCCAUGCCUAUAUGACCCUUCCCUUUUACCCCCAUGCCUAUGACCCUUCCCUUUUACCCCCCCAUGCC
Long non-coding RNA from Oncorhynchus tshawytscha (Chinook salmon), 1449 nucleotides. The record is from Ensembl. Lineage: Eukaryota; Metazoa; Chordata; Actinopteri; Salmoniformes; Salmonidae.